Molecule: long non-coding RNA, 842 nt
Organism: Drosophila persimilis
Lineage: Eukaryota; Metazoa; Arthropoda; Insecta; Diptera; Drosophilidae
Exons: 4
Source: RefSeq, a predicted model, not a curated record
AAGCUCGAUGCCCCGAUGUCGGAUGCCUGAUGGCUGAUGGCUGACAAGGAUUACAAGGAUAACCAUUUGCCCCUUACAUCUGUCAAGCAUCGAAACACACACAUGUGUAUCUAUUGUGUAUAUUUUGUAUUCCCUUCUGCUCUAUUGGCCGAGAACCUCCCUGGCCACAAUCUGCUAUGCCGCGAUCCCCUUCUCUUACCGCGCCAGCAGGUCGGGUGGCGAUAUUUUUAACAUCAUUUACAAGAGGCUUCACCCUUCUGGUCUUCCGGUUCAUAUGAGCGAGCGUGCGCUCAAUGACGGUUGACCACUCAAGGCUGACAUCACGAACUCCCUGCCUCGGGACAUGAUGGCCUCUUCCUGGCGUCCAACGAUGUGUUCUCCUCCUUUCGAGUCCGCUUUCUGUCGGUACCACCACUGAUGGACUCCUGGAUGGACUGUGGCAGCCACUGGGUUUCCUGCUGUGGGCCCUGAUGCCGCUGCUGUUUCACCGAGGAUCCCUGCAGCAGGGAUCAAAUCGACGAAGGAAGUGUUGGUUCACGCCCAUGGGAAAUGUCAGCAACCACCCCAUUCAUAUGCCGCCGCAUCAAACGCUGUUCUACAGCUUCGAGACGAAGAAGCAUUACCGAGGCUUAUUCGAGAUACACCGAGGUCUAUCCCAGCCAGGCCUAACCUAACAAGCUAUCGACAUCCUUCGACCUGGCCAUCGACAACAAGGACUUUGACUAUGGUAACCAAGCGAAGAGCUACGCGGGAUGCUAGACUCUAUAUAGAUCUCGUUGUUGUUAGGUGUAAGAUAGAUAAAACUGUUUUCCACUUGUUUAUUUAUUGAUAAUAAGCUAACU